CAUCUAGAGGCAAACAUUUGUUGGAACUGCUUUCUAAUGACAGAAUCGGAUCCGAUUUCUAUUUCCAUUAAGAAAUGUUAAACUUUCUUUUAUGAAAUAAGCAAAGCAUUUGAACUUUUAAUUUUUAGCAUACAAUGCGGGGUGCGAUCAACUUCCCGUACACGCAACACAGCAGCCCUCAGGAUAUAGUUACCCGAUGUCGAGAACUUCAGCCAAUAUAGUUGUUAAUAGUGCCUCUACACCUACAGUUGUUGCUGCACAAAGAGAAAGCGAUUGGCUAGUGCCCGCCAUUUUUGCCUGUCUAUGCUGUUUCUGGCCCCUUGGCGUUUUUGCAAUUAAUGCAGCUGUUAAUGCAAGAUCCCAUUACGACGAGGGUGACUAUGUACAUGGAAGAUCCUAUUCAAGAUCGGCUAAACAGUUGACCUUGAUUACACUCGUAUUCGGCAGCCUCUUCAUUACUGGCUUUAUUAUCUACCUUUUCAGAUGAAAGAGAUUAACGAACGAACAGGAGCAACCACACAAAACCCCUUUGGGAUCUAAAGUGUUAACUUUGCUUUAAAUAUUAUAUAUUAAAUCAUGACCAAUUUAUUUGUACUUUAUACUAGUAUUCAAUGAGCAUAGAGUUUUUAAUUCUUGAUUGUAACUAAUGGACAUUUUUCAUACUCAAAUUAACAUUCGAAUUUAUAAGUUAACCUGCUUUCUUUCACUUGGUCAUGUAUUAGUUUGAACAAAAAAUGUUAUCCUGUCUCCAAGAAAUGCUAUCCGAUCAACUGUGAGUUUUUUCCCAGAUAUUUCAAAUCAGUUGUAAUUGUCUUCAAGUUACUAACUUCAGUUUUGCACUGUCUAGUAAAAUUUAUUUGCCAUGCUGUUUUGUGAUUCAUAUACUGUACAGUAGC
Saccostrea cuccullata (small rock oyster) is the source of this 896-nucleotide long non-coding RNA. RefSeq lists it as uncharacterized. Lineage: Eukaryota; Metazoa; Mollusca; Bivalvia; Ostreida; Ostreidae. The record is from RefSeq and is a predicted model, not a curated record. The transcript has 3 exons.